GUCCAACGUACCGACUAACGGCGAUGGUGACCUAUCUUGACGACACGCGGAGGCAGAUCUCGAGCGAAUGCUAGCCUCUAGAACGAUCACUGCUGCCGCGAGCUCCCCGUAGUUGAACUCGAUCAACUCGACUGGUGAGCUCUUUUAAGGUGAGUGAUCGACUGAGAGACAGGUAACUCGCGCGAUCGAUACGUAUUUCCGUGUUUGUGUUUGUGUAUGGGUCGGUAUGUGGGGUCCCCAACACUGACUGCUUCUUCUGCUGACUGCUGCUGGUAUUGCUGCUACUUUUUACUCUUUUAUUUUUCUACGCUUUAGACCUUAAUCCAACACUGCUGCACGGCAAAUCGCGCACCAAUUUGAGCACUCUGAGGUCGGAAAUUUAUUGCACGACUUUCACACACUUUUCUUCCAAUAGACUGAUCGAGUGAUCGAUAUGCACAUGCACUUCUCUACUGCGAUUUACCCGACGUCGACUACGAUGAUUAUGGUGGAGAUAGAUCGCACUCCCUGGUUACC
Long non-coding RNA from Ochlerotatus camptorhynchus, 516 nucleotides. RefSeq lists it as uncharacterized. The record is from RefSeq and is a predicted model, not a curated record. Lineage: Eukaryota; Metazoa; Arthropoda; Insecta; Diptera; Culicidae. The transcript has 2 exons.